RNAcentral lists this ribosomal RNA (549 nucleotides) under Hanseniaspora uvarum. RNAcentral's name for it is "eukaryotic LSU rRNA". It matches the Rfam family "Eukaryotic large subunit ribosomal RNA", at positions 50 to 601 of the family's 3401-position model. The record is from RNAcentral. Lineage: Eukaryota; Fungi; Ascomycota; Saccharomycetes; Saccharomycodales; Saccharomycodaceae.
GCGGAGGAAAAGAAACCAACUGGGAUUACCUUAGUAACGGCGAGUGAAGCGGUAAAAGCUCAAAUUUGAAAUCUGGUACUUUCAGUGCCCGAGUUGUAAUUUGUAGAAUUUGUCUUUGAUUAGGUCCUUGUCUAUGUUCCUUGGAACAGGACGUCAUAGAGGGUGAGAAUCCCGUUUGGCGAGGAUACCUUUUCUCUGUAAGACUUUUUCGAAGAGUCGAGUUGUUUGGGAAUGCAGCUCAAAGUGGGUGGUAAAUUCCAUCUAAAGCUAAAUAUUGGCGAGAGACCGAUAGCGAACAAGUACAGUGAUGGAAAGAUGAAAAGAACUUUGAAAAGAGAGUGAAAAAGUACGUGAAAUUGUUGAAAGGGAAGGGCAUUUGAUCAGACAUGGUGUUUUUUGCAUGCACUCGCCUCUCGUGGGCUUGGGCCUCUCAAAAAUUUCACUGGGCCAACAUCAAUUCUGGCAGCAGGAUAAAUCAUUAAGAAUGUAGCUACUUCGGUAGUGUUAUAGCUUUUUGGACUACUGCUAACCGGGAUUGAGGACUGCACU